UUAUACAUCUAUUACGACGGUAUAGUCACGCCGUCGCUUGUAUAAUUAAAAUAAAUAAAUAAAAAAACAAGACAAUUCAAUUAAUCCUUCAUUCCUUCAGAUUAGAUCUAGACCAAAACUGAUUUUCUUUCAUGCCACUUCCUCCUCUCUCUCUCACGCUUUAUUCACCGAGCUCAAAACCCUAACCUAGCGAUCCCCGACCUCCAUUGAAGCGAGAGAUUUGGUGAGAAGGGGAGGAGAUCGAGCUUCAUUGAUGACAUGGUCGAGGAGGACGACGACGAUGAUGAAUACGGCCCCUAUCGUGGCAGUAGCGGCGGGAGUUGUAAGCGGAGCAAGAAGAGGCCUUCUGGUGGAUUUUUUUGAUUUCGCAGCGGUGGUCAAUUCAGAUGAGGAGGAUGAGGAGGAAGAUACUGUACCAAUAUUCAGAUGAACGAAGAGGUUGCGAUUAAGCUGAUGCAAUCCAUCCUGCUGAUGUUGGACUUAAAGAGGAAAAUCCAGAUGAUGAUCGAUGGCUUGGUUUUUUCAGAGACAGUCUAAAUAGAGUUUCUCGAUGGACUCAACCAAUAACAUACUUCAAUUUAUAUGAAGGUGAUAGUUUUACGAUGUGUAUAUUCUGUUUUCCUACUUCCUCAGUCAUUCCACUUCAUGAUCACCCUGGCAUGACUGUUUUUAGCAAAGUUCUGUAUGGUUCUUUGCAUGUGAGAGCUUACGAUUGGGUGGAGCCUUCCCACGAAAGCAAGGGAUCAAAUUACUUUCCAGUAAGAUUGGCACACUUGCAGACUUAAUACACAUUGUACUUACAUGGGUUGAAGAGAUUUUACAUUCCUCUUUCUCAUACUAUGAGUCUUUUGGUAUGUGUUACAGGAGAUGAGAUGACUCGAAUUUUCUGGAAAUCAAUCAAGGAUAAGCUUAUUCUCCCCUUUUUGGAUUUGGACAUUAAGUACUUUGACCUUGGUCUUCCUCACCGUGAUACCACUGAUGAUAAAGUUACCGUUGAAAGUGCAGAGGCCACUCUUAAGAGGAUUAGAAUGGGGCUGCUCCAGCUAGAAGUGUUAUGGUGUGGAUCCUAAUAUAAAUUUGAAAGUAUGCUUAGGCAGCAGCUGUGGUUGAUAGUCUGGCCAUCUUUUAGAAGUGAAGGUGCUGCAGUGCUGUUGUUUUGGCUUACUCUUGAUUGCUGCUUGGUUAUAGAUGAUGGGUUUCAUAUUGUAAUUUGAUAUUUUUCGGUUCAUAAUAAUUGCUAUAGAUGGUACUAGCUUUGGUGUGCAAUUCACACCAU
Molecule: RNA transcript, 1276 nt
Organism: Rosa chinensis
Lineage: Eukaryota; Viridiplantae; Streptophyta; Magnoliopsida; Rosales; Rosaceae
Gene name: plant cysteine oxidase 3
Exons: 7
Source: RefSeq, a predicted model, not a curated record